RNAcentral lists this ribosomal RNA (253 nucleotides) under uncultured bacterium. Its description in RNAcentral is "partial 16S ribosomal RNA". It matches the Rfam family "Bacterial small subunit ribosomal RNA", at positions 524 to 776 of the family's 1533-position model. The record is from RNAcentral.
UACGGGGGGAGCAAGCGUUGUUCGGAAUUAUUGGGCGUAAAGCGCUUGUAGGCGGCACGUCAAGUCGCGUGUGAAAUCCCCAGGCUUAACCUGGGAAGUGCGCGCGAAACUGACGAGCUUGAGUGCCGGAGAGGGUCGCGGAAUUCCCGGUGUAGAGGUGAAAUUCGUAGAUAUGACAUAGAACACCAAUUGCGAAGGCAGCUCGCUACACAUAUAUUGACUCUGAGGCACGAAAGCGUGGGGAUCAAACAGG